CUUGACGACCAUAGAGCGUUGGAACCACCUGAUCCCAUCCCGAACUCAGAAGUGAAACGAUGCAUCGCCGAUGGUAGUGUGGGGUUUCCCCAUGUGAGAGUAGGUCAUCGUCAAGAUUAAAUUCCGAAACCCCUAUCUGCUGAUGCAG
RNAcentral lists this ribosomal RNA (148 nucleotides) under Pseudomonas sp. SJZ075. The record is from RNAcentral. RNAcentral also lists the same sequence under 2 other names. Lineage: Bacteria; Pseudomonadati; Pseudomonadota; Gammaproteobacteria; Pseudomonadales; Pseudomonadaceae.